RNAcentral lists this long non-coding RNA (357 nucleotides) under Homo sapiens (human). RNAcentral's name for it is "non-protein coding lnc-PDE6B-1:18". The record is from RNAcentral. Lineage: Eukaryota; Metazoa; Chordata; Mammalia; Primates; Hominidae.
AUCCGCGCCCCUAUCCGGCGCGGGCCGCUGCGGAAACGCAGCUCUCCACCCCCAGCUGGCUCUCCCGGACCCCCUGGGCCCCACCCUCAGCGCUCCCCACCGCUCGGCGCCCCUGCGUCUGCGCUCCCCUCUCUCCCCUCUCUAUCCACUGGGUCUGGGCCGCACUUCCCGCCCACCCGCCUGCCAGCGGCCGGGAAGCCUGUGGAAGUUAUGGGGAUGCAGGGAGAGGGGGAGAGGGGAGCUUGUGUGCUAGGGGUGAGUGGGUAUGGGGGAGAGCCUGGGUAAGGAGAAGGGGAAAGGGGGAGCCUGGGAAAGGAGGGAGGAAAGGAGGAGAGCCCGGGUGCUGGGGUGGGGGGG